Long non-coding RNA from Canis lupus familiaris (dog), 2014 nucleotides. RefSeq lists it as uncharacterized. The transcript is spliced from 12 exons. The record is from RefSeq and is a predicted model, not a curated record. Lineage: Eukaryota; Metazoa; Chordata; Mammalia; Carnivora; Canidae.
CCUCAAAUCUUGCUGCCAGCAGCAUUAGAGUGAUCCAUAUAAUUACAAAUUAGAUCCAUUUACUGGGGUCUGGUUGCCUAUGCAAGAGCUUGCCUUCCAUAUAUAAACAUAAUUGUGAUAAAUCUGGACUCAACAGCCAUGGGGCAUUCUGAAGAUGAUAUCUAGAGGUUGCCAUGACAACUCCCUAGAAUUCCUGCUGUCUUUUCAUGGUAGAGUUCCUAGCUAAAGCCUGGAAGGUAUCUGAAAUAAAUCAUCAAAAGGUGGGACAGCUGGAAUUGGUCCAUGGAAGAAAUCCAAGUAUGCGGGUUCAUAAGUCCUGUGAAGCAAGAGGAGACUUUUCUCUGAUAUUCAUUGUGAGAUCCUGGUUGAACUCCUACAGGUCUGGUUUCCACAAAACCUCUCCAUGGGCUUCCUAGCCUCCAACUGCAAUCCCCCAAUCCACUGAACCAUGAUCUCCAUCACAUGGCUUCCAAGAAACUUCCCUUCCUCUUGGUGUAGCUGGAAGCUCUCUGCCUGACUCAUCCUCUCACCAGUAUGCUGGGGCCACCUAGAGCAAGGGCAACAACCUCUUGCUGUCCCCUAUGUGUCUUUACAGGCCAAAGGCAAGUGCGUAACCCCUUCUGAGGGAGACCUCUGGACCUGAGCAUUCUCAAGUCAAACAAGAGACUGGAUAUGAUUCAACACUUUUUGUCCAUUGGACAAUUAAUGUGUACCAAUGUCAUCAGUCCAAUAAAAGCAGAUGGGGAGUGCGGCAAGCUUUUGCCCAAUAAGAGGAAAUGAAACAUAUCCACAUGCUUCAAGGAAAUGUCAAAAUGGGCCAUUUACCUCAGGUUUUGGGAUCAUUUGAAGUUCUUUAACAUUUCUGCCUUUCAAGAGAAAAUUGCCAUAUAUAUCACCUCACAUCCUUUGACCCAAAUCAUCGAGUCUUUUCAUUUUUAAAGUAUAAUUUCUACAAAACUAAUGGCAAUGAUCAGAACAUCAUCAAUUUCAUGAUGUCAGAGAAUUAUUCCUAUAUACUUCCUUAAUAUCAGAUCCUCGGAAAUUUAAAAUAUUGUCUUGCCAUCGAAAGGCAAAAUUAAGAAACACAGAGCCAACCUUUAUGGUCCUGCAGACUGGCCUUGCGCAAAGGUCACUGAGAAGGGGACGGCUGAGCACCAAGAGGUGCUCAGGAUGCCAGCAAGUGGAUCCAUGAUGGAACAUGGGAAGCUCAGCCCAGGCAGAGGAGUGACAUCUUUCUGGAGGGUCCUGAGAAACUUCUAAACAUGACAUUCGCCAGACAACCAGGUGGCAAAUCAUAAGCCAGCACAAAAAGAGAGGAGGAAAAUCAUAGGCGUGGAAAGAACUGAGGAUCAACAAGGACCUUCGGGGUGGUUACGAAAGCCUCAGAAAGAAAAGAUGACUGUGACAAACUAUGAACUAUACUACAUGAUAAAUUCCUGUGGAUGGACCGAAAACUCGUUUCCUUAUAAUGAAGAUACUGGGGAAACAAACAAACAAACAUAUACUGUAUCUACUUUAGGGUCAAAUCAGUUUAAACGUUAGAUUGGAAAGAAAAAUACAACGUCCUCAAAGCUUUGAUGUCUUUGGGUGGUCUUUAAUAGAUAGUGAUAACUUAAUUUGCAGAAUGGAGAAUAUUUUAAAAAAAAAUCUGGUUAAGAAUAAUACCACUUGUACUAAAUGCUUCCCAUUUGUGGCAUUAAUUUACUCUGUAUCUCUUGAUUUCCACAAAGACCUGUGAAAUUCAGUUCUAUUUUGGUAGUCCUGUCUGGCAUUUAUUGACUUGGCAAGCGUGUCCAAUCAAUAAACAGCAAAAAAAUAAAAAAAUAAAAAUAAAAAAAAAUAAAAUGUCCUUCUUUCUAGGAUAGAAGGUAGUAGAAGGAGACACGUGGUGGCUUCCCGUUCUGGGAUGGGAGCAGGUGAAAAGUUAGGGAGCAAACUAUCUGAAAACAAACACGAAUCCCACCAAUCUGCAAACAUUCUAAUAUGCUUUAGAAACUAUCAUCUUUUCCGCAUA